UUUUUUUGUUUUUUUCUAUGACUUAGAUGAUAUGCAGACUCAAAUGAUAUUCACAAAAAACAAGUCAAAUAUGUCUUGAACCCUCCCCCAAACUUAAAUUACACAGUCCCUUGUGUAAUCAAAAUUUGUGAAAGAAUUCAAGAUAAACACAGAAACAAAAACAAAAGCGAUAUUUACAAAGGGUUUUGGUGUGUUACCUCAGUAGAAUGUCCUGGAGAUGUUGUCAUCCAUAUCUGCUUGAGUGUACUCAGCUGGCAUGACCGGUUCUUGAUGUGGCUCCGCCAUCUCCUCGUCAUUGUGCUCGAUUGCAACCCCAGCAGGUUGUUCAGCACGACGCUCACGUGUUCUCCACCCCAACAUUAUCUGACCCUUGCUUGAUGAUCGAACCAUCCUAGCGCUCUUCCGCCUCUUGUGCUCCCUGACCUCGUGAGACGAGUGUCGUGCGGGUUCUUGCGGGACAGCGCGUUCUCUCUGUUGAUAAGCAGAUUGGCUUGGCGGGGCAAUGUCAUGACGCCUGGAUGGCAUGUCUUCUGGCGGGUUGUCUCUGGUGAUCGCACUAGUGGAUGUGGUGCAACUGAUUGCCUUCUGCAUGUUGUCAAUGGCCUUGACACACUUAUGGAUGAUCUUGUCUUGAAACUUGCACCACCUUUGGGUUAGACUGAGCUUCCGGUGUGCUUCAGCGAGACUCUUGCUUUCUCGUGAAGGGGGCUUGUGUUCUUCAAAGUGGUAGCGGCUCGUGUCAUAGUUCUCCCAAUUGGUCUCCUCAUUGUCACUCUAACCUUCUACUUCUUUAGCAUUCCGGGACGCGGAUCCUCCAAUCACAGCAUGGAGGAUUUCUUGUGGUGGCGAGAAGUCGAUGUUAUCUCUCACUGUGAUGGUUGUCAUUUCAUUGAAUGGGAGAAGAAUAGUUGCUUCGCCUGUUGACGGGUGAUCAAACUUGAAAGCGUACCUCCCGUCAUAGACCUUAUGCUCGAUCACAUGAGCAAGCUUGAGAUGGGCGAUAUCCAUCCAACGUGGUUGGAUUGGAUCCGGUCGCAGCGGGACGUCGCACGAUAGGAGAAUUGGUGUGACCACUCCUCCAAUGCAAAGGGCUCCUUUCGCGUUCUUCUUGUCAUUGGCCAUCGUCCACCCUCUGUAGCUGCAUAAGUGAUUGAGGAGAUACAUUGACGGAGGUGUGUCAUUGGUAUCUCCCUUCAUCGUUUUCCCGUCGUUGGUGUAACGGAGAAAACUUAGCAGCGCCAGGUCUAACGUCUCCAUGUCUUGGUUCGUCACAGUGGCGGAUAUCUCCCUAGCAUAAGGGACAUUGGCCAUGGCUCUCUGGAAAUAGCGAAUGGCGGGAUUGCAAAUGGAGUUACUCUUGGAUCUUGCGGAGUUAAAGCUGGUGGUGUCUCCGAUCGUGUUCCACAAAGAUUUCAAUUCCUCUCGGGCAAACUUCGGUUUCAUUCCCGUGCCACUGGGAAACCCAAACAUGGAUUUCAGCGUCUUGAUCGCCAUGAUAUAGUCGCGGUCGUCGAUGGUGAAGCUUAAGUAACCAAGCCCUUCUUCUCUUAACUCAGCAGCUGACAACCCCUCAAACAAUUCCACUUGAAGUGAUGAAAGGAAUUGAAGUGUCUCAUCCUCAUAGGUAGGAUAGGGAUGAGACAUGAGUGUUAUCAUGUGGCAUUUCUCGAACAAGAGUUGAACGUCUUCCAAGAUGCCUAACUCCGCCAUUGUCUCCGGGUGAGGAUAUCUUGUUUCCCAAAACGGAUUUCUUUUGAGAGCCUUGUAGUAGUCUCCCGGGGUCAGCUUGUCUUCUUUCAUUAGGGACUUGGUGGUCUUGCGGGUUUGCUCCGGAAUGUACUCCGCAUCAUCUUCUAUCUCUUCAUCAAUUAGCUCAUAAUUUUCCGUCACUAUUAGCUCAUUGACCUCUUCCCUCUGGCUAUCUCUUCUCUUCUCCUGUCAUUGGCGACUGCUCGCUCUGUUUCCUCUACAAAUCGCCUAUACUCAUCUGCUUCUCUCUCUAGCCUAGUUGACCAAGAUUCAGCAUCAUCAACACUGUAGUCAGCAUCCAUAGAUGAUUCGUAGCUGUGUGAACUCAUCUUGAAGCUGAAAUCGAUUUGAAACUCACAACUAAAGCUCAGUAGGUUAGUGAGAAACAAACAAAGACAAUGAAAGAAAUGACUUCUUGUUGAUAUAGAGUUGUGAUCGAGUAGAAUUUGAUAGUGAGAGCUCAGGUCGCGAUCGAGUGAAGCAAGCAAAUGAGAGACAGGGUUGCGAUAGAGUAGUUUCUGAGAGCGUUUUUGGUAGUGAAGUAGAGAAAUAAACAAGAGAGAUGUUUUGAAAUCUCAAGUGAUGAAGAAAAGUGAAGAGUAGUGACACUUAUCUCCCUUCGCGAUUUGAAUGAGUGGAGGAGGUGUGUUGCUUUUAAACGGACGGAUAGGAUGCAAUGCCCGUUAUGAUGUCGGCAAAGUGAUAAGGUGACAAAGCAUGGUGCUUUAUGUCGGCAGGAUGGGGUUCCUUCAGGUCACGCGCCUUGUGAUCGAGUAUGGGCUAUUGAUCCUUUAAUUUCGUGUCAUGGGCUACAAGUGGACACAACAUGUGCUUUUUGGAGUUUCGGUGGAAAUUGAAAUCCAGUAGGCUUAAUGGGACUAAGGUUUGACAUUGACGUUUUGUGGACACUUUCACUCCUCCUUGCGAUCUAGUAGAAAAUUGUUAUCCCGAAUCUGCUAGAUCGCACUGCUGAGCUUUCACUCCUAUGUUGUGAUCGAGUAUUUGUAAAAAUUUUGGAAAUUUUUCAUUUUAACACUCGAUCACAUCCUUGUUGAUUACUCCAGCUGUUAUUCAUUUCCUGAGAUUCAAAGACACAACCAAAACGAAUCAAAAGUAACAAAUAAAUAAAAAGUAUAUACAGGGAUAGUCAUGGGACUUCCUCCCAAGUGAGCUUGUUUAAAGUCUCUAGCUUGACUCCUCACACUAAUCAAGUGGAGAAAAUGUGACAGAGGGAACUUGAGAAGUCCUCCUCUUCACUGAUAUCAUCAUCAUACUCAGCAUCCUCCCUUGACAGUUGCACAGCUGAGUACUCAAUUCUUCUUUCCUCAUAGUAGGCUGCUUCCUCCUCUGGAGGAUAGUCUUUCUCUUCUGACCAAUCCCAAGUGAUCUCCUUUCUUGAAAUCGUGUCAUGGUUGAGCUGGGGUUGAACCUCCUUUUGCAUUCGACUUAGUUUGUCUCUAAACAUCCUGAACGUCCAUGGAAGAGCAAUGAGACCGCUUUUGAUCUCAAAGUUGUUGUUCUGUACUGGAGGUGGAACAAUUCCAUGACACUGGUUAUGGUUGUGAGGGAAGUCACCA
This 3326-nucleotide small RNA is filed under the name Arabidopsis thaliana (thale cress). RNAcentral describes it as "ATSL160950". The record is from RNAcentral. Lineage: Eukaryota; Viridiplantae; Streptophyta; Magnoliopsida; Brassicales; Brassicaceae.